RNAcentral lists this non-coding RNA (64 nucleotides) under Aotus nancymaae (Ma's night monkey). Lineage: Eukaryota; Metazoa; Chordata; Mammalia; Primates; Aotidae. The record is from RNAcentral.
GUAUUGUAUAAAAGGAGAGAUUAGCAUUCCCCUUGACAAGAGGAAUAGAAAAUCAAAUACUUGU